Long non-coding RNA from Terrapene triunguis (Three-toed box turtle), 558 nucleotides. RefSeq lists it as uncharacterized. The transcript has 3 exons. Lineage: Eukaryota; Metazoa; Chordata; Testudines; Emydidae. The record is from RefSeq and is a predicted model, not a curated record.
AGGGCAAGGAGACGCCCUCAGCCAAGAGGCCUUGCAGGCCAGAUGAGGGGGGGGGGAUCAUAACCCUGACAGGAAGAGGCUGAUGCUAGGAAGAAGGGUCCUGCCACCUAGAGCCCGAGGGCAUGUGGCCACCACCAGAUCAGGGAAGCAUCCAAAGUGAAGAGAGCACCCCGAAGUGGAGGAGCCCUUGUCUGCAUCCUCAGUGAUCCCAACAAGAUUGAGGGUUAAGUCCCCUCAGGAAUUCUGGGUUCAACAACAUCGGAGUUACAGGGACUAGACUGGAAGGAUUCUCCCUUCCCAAACCUGAGCUGAUCUCCCGCCUGGAACGAGGGGAAGAGCCGUGGGUCCCGCAUCUCCAGGUCUGCGAGGAAAGAGAGAGCCUGAGAGCUGACCACACAGGUGAGGACUGACACAGAAAUGGGGAAUGAAGGAAAAAGUUGAGAAUCCCAAAUAUAUGGUGUGAGUAAGCACCCUCAGUUCUUCCUCAUCUCACUCAGUGUAGCACAGUAGUCAGCAGAUAUCACUCACAGCUUCUACCAAGCCUGUUGGCCGCAAGAG